GGAAACGUUGUCUGCAAGCUCAAUUUUUGCAGAAAAACAGCUAUAGAUUACUUUUGUAGUUUCUUUUCAGCUAUAUGAUCUCAAGCAACAAGGCUUCAUCGAGAGGCAAGAGGUGAAACAAAUGGUGGUUGCUACCCUUGCUGAGACUGGUAUGAACUUUUCAGAUGAGAUUAUUGAGAGCAUAAUCGACAAGACUUUUGAAGAAGCUGAUACUAAACAUGACGGGAAGAUUGAUAAGGAAGAGUGGAGAAAUUUGGUCCGGCACCAUCCUUCACUUCUGAAGAAUGUGACCCUUCAGUAUCUUAUGUAAGUGGCACUUGGAAUAAUGACAUCACUUCAUUUAGCAUCAUGUUUGGCAUAUUGUGAUUCUAUCCGUGGCAUACUUUUAGUAUGGAUUGACCUAAAUGUCGUUGUCACAUAAACAAGGACAUAACGACUACAUUCCCAAGUUUUGUCUUUCACUCGAGAGUUCCGGAUACCUGAUAUGGAUUGCCAAAGCUGAAUUGCCUACAGAAGUAGUCUUAUAAUUGAGAGUUGCAGUUCGACUAAGAAACUAAGUAUUAUUUUAGCUCAACUUUUUUUAAGUUCAACAUUUUCAUGAUUUGUUAUUCUUUUCGGGGGCAGUGGGGUUGUGUAUUGUUGUUACCACUGCACAAAUGCUAAGUUCCCUUGUUGAUGUUGUGCAUCAUUGUAAUUUAAUUUGCUUAUUGUAGCUCAUUAUUUGGAAGUCUUUUGGCAUGAGAUGAGUUUAAAUGGAGAAAUAUGGUUAGUGA
This is a long non-coding RNA of Lycium barbarum (goji berry), 773 nucleotides long. RefSeq lists it as uncharacterized. The record is from RefSeq and is a predicted model, not a curated record. The transcript has 3 exons. Lineage: Eukaryota; Viridiplantae; Streptophyta; Magnoliopsida; Solanales; Solanaceae.